CUGACUUGGUCAUCUCAGAUAUUAAAAUAUUGGAAAAAUAGGGAAAAGAUUAUCAUGGCUCCUGCACCAGAUGGCUUGCACCUUCAUGAAGUAUUUCAUAUUUGG
This is a small nuclear RNA of Cynocephalus volans (Philippine flying lemur), 105 nucleotides long. The record is from RefSeq and is a predicted model, not a curated record. Lineage: Eukaryota; Metazoa; Chordata; Mammalia; Dermoptera; Cynocephalidae.